GACGAGGGCGACUGGUGGGUCUCGCAAGGGUCCCGACUGAUGUUGGCUCUUGUCAUCCUUGGGGAGAGCCAGGCUGGCAUUAGUUUGUCGGCUUGGGGAUCCUCAUCGUUUACUGUGAAAAAAUUAGAGUGUUCAAAGCAGGCUUAGGCCCUGAAUACAUUAGCAUGGAAUAAUAAGAUAGGACCUUGGUGGUCUAUUUUGUUGGUUUGCACGCCAAGGUA
This 221-nucleotide ribosomal RNA is filed under the name uncultured fungus. RNAcentral describes it as "partial small subunit ribosomal RNA". The stretch from base 93 to 221 matches the Rfam family "Eukaryotic small subunit ribosomal RNA", at positions 735 to 864 of the family's 1831-position model. The record is from RNAcentral. Lineage: Eukaryota; Fungi.